CCUACGUGCGGCAGCAGUGGGGAAUAUUGGACAAUGGGCGAAAGCCUGAUCCAGCCAUGCCGCGUGUGUGAAGAAGGCCUUCGGGUUGUAAAGCACUUUCAGUGGGGAAGAAAGCCUUGGGGCUAAUACCCUCGAGGAAGGACAUCACCCACAGAAGAAGCACCGGCUAACUCCGUGCCAGCAGCCGCGGUAAUACGGAGGGUGCGAGCGUUAAUCGGAAUUACUGGGCGUAAAGCGCGCGUAGGCGGUCUGAUAAGCCGGUUGUGAAAGCCCCGGGCUCAACUUGGGAACGGCAUCCGGAACUGUCAGGCUAGAGUGCAGGAGAGGAAGGUAGAAUUCCCGGUGUAGCGGUGAAAUGCGUAGAGAUCGGGAGGAAUACCAGUGGCGAAGGCGGUCUUCUGGACUGACACUGACGCUGAGGUGCGAAAGCGUGGGUAGCAAACAGGAUUAGAUACCCUGGUAGUC
RNAcentral lists this ribosomal RNA (465 nucleotides) under Vreelandella stevensii. Its description in RNAcentral is "partial 16S ribosomal RNA". It matches the Rfam family "Bacterial small subunit ribosomal RNA", at positions 338 to 795 of the family's 1533-position model. Lineage: Bacteria; Pseudomonadati; Pseudomonadota; Gammaproteobacteria; Oceanospirillales; Halomonadaceae. The record is from RNAcentral.